CAACCUUACGGUUCUGCAGCGCCAUACACCUCUCCUUACGGCGCACCACCACAACCUUCUGCUCCAUACGGCACCGCACCACAACCUACUGCUCCAUACGGCAGCGCACAACAUGCUGCUCCAUACGGCACCGCGCAAGCUUAUGGCUCCCCCUACGCAGCUGCCCCUCCCGGCACCAAGCCUCCAAAGGACAAACCCCAAGGUUCCACACCUGGCGGCUAUCCUCCUGCUCCCUACGGAAGCAGCCCCUUUGCUUCUCUC
This 261-nucleotide long non-coding RNA is filed under the name Populus tremula. RNAcentral describes it as "long non-coding RNA (PTRE_LNC001168)". The record is from RNAcentral. Lineage: Eukaryota; Viridiplantae; Streptophyta; Magnoliopsida; Malpighiales; Salicaceae.